UAGGGAAUCUUCGGCAAUGGGGGGAACCCUGACCGAGCAACGCCGCGUGAGUGAAGAAGGUUUUCGGAUCGUAAAGCUCUGUUGUUAAGGAAGAACGAGUGUGAGAAUGGAAAGUUCAUACUGUGACGGUACUUAACCAGAAAGGGACGGCUAGCUACGUGCCAGCAGCCGCGGUAAUACGUAGGUGGCAAGCGUUGUCCGGAUUUAUUGGGCGUAAAGCGAGCGCAGGCGGUCAAUUAAGUCUGAUGUGAAAGCCCCCGGCUCAACCGGGGAGGGUCAUUGGAAACUGGUUGACUUGAGUGCAGAAGAGGAGAGUGGAAUUCCAUGUGUAGCGGUGAAAUGCGUAGAUAUAUGGAGGAACACCAGUGGCGAAGGCGACUCUCUGGUCUGUAACUGACGCGGAGGCUCGAAAGCGUGGGUAGCAAACAGG
This 430-nucleotide ribosomal RNA is filed under the name Bacteroidota bacterium. RNAcentral describes it as "Bacteroidetes bacterium partial 16S ribosomal RNA". It matches the Rfam family "Bacterial small subunit ribosomal RNA", at positions 355 to 776 of the family's 1533-position model. Lineage: Bacteria; Pseudomonadati; Bacteroidota. The record is from RNAcentral.